GUCCCGGUUUAAGCGUGUAGGCUGGUUUUCCAGGCAAAUCCGGAAAAUCAAGGCUGAGGCGUGAUGACGAGGCACUACGGUGCUGAAGCAACAAAUGCCCUGCUUCCAGGAAAAGCCUCUAAGCAUCAGGUAACAUCAAAUCGUACCCCAAACCGACACAGGUGGUCAGGUAGAGAAUACCAAGGCGCUUGAGAGAACUCGGGUGAAGGAACUAGGCAAAAUGGUGCCGUAACUUCGGGAGAAGGCACGCUGAUAUGUAGGUGAAGCGACUUGCUCGUGGAGCUGAAAUCAGUCGAAGAUACCAGCUGGCUGCAACUGUUUAUUAAAAACACAGCACUGUGCAAACACGAAAGUGGACGUAUACGGUGUGACGCCUGCCCGGUGCCGGAAGGUUAAUUGAUGGGGUCAGCGCAAGCGAAGCUCUUGAUCGAAGCCCCGGUAAACGGCGGCCGUAACUAUAACGGUCCUAAGGUAGCGAAAUUCCUUGUCGGGUAAGUUCCGACCUGCACGAAUGGCGUAAUGAUGGCCAGGCUGUCUCCACCCGAGACUCAGUGAAAUUGAACUCGCUGUGAAGAUGCAGUGUACCCGCGGCAAGACGGAAAGACCCCGUGAACCUUUACUAUAGCUUGACACUGAACAUUGAGCCUUGAUGUGUAGGAUAGGUGGGAGGCUUUGAAGUGUGGACGCCAGUCUGCAUGGAGCCGACCUUGAAAUACCACCCUUUAAUGUUUGAUGUUCUAACGUGGACCCGUGAUCCGGGUUGCGGACAGUGUCUGGUGGGUAGUUUGACUGGGGCGGUCUCCUCCUAAAGAGUAACGGAGGAGCACGAAGGUUGGCUAAUCCUGGUCGGACAUCAGGAGGUUAGUGCAAUGGCAUAAGCCAGCUUGACUGCGAGCGUGACGGCGCGAGCAGGUGCGAAAGCAGGUCAUAGUGAUCCGGUGGUUCUGAAUGGAAGGGCCAUCGCUCAACGGAUAAAAGGUACUCCGGGGAUAACAGGCUGAUACCGCCCAAGAGUUCAUAUCGACGGCGGUGUUUGGCACCUCGAUGUCGGCUCAUCACAUCCUGGGGCUGAAGUAGGUCCCAAGGGUAUGGCUGUUCGCCAUUUAAAGUGGUACGCGAGCUGGGUUUAGAACGUCGUGAGACAGUUCGGUCCCUAUCUGCCGUGGGCGCUGGAGAACUGAGGGGGGCUGCUCCUAGUACGAGAGGACCGGAGUGGACGCAUCACUGGUGUUCGGGUUGUCAUGCCAAUGGCACUGCCCGGUAGCUAAAUGCGGAAGAGAUAAGUGCUGAAAGCAUCUAAGCACGAAACUUGCCCCGAGAUGAGUUCUCCCUGACUCCUUGAGAGUCCUGAAGGAACGUUGAAGACGACGACGUUGAUAGGCCGGGUGUGUAAGCGCAGCGAUGCGUUGAGCUAACCGGUACUAAUGAACCGUGAGGCUUAACCUUACAACGCCGAAGGUGUUU
This 1464-nucleotide ribosomal RNA is filed under the name Escherichia coli. RNAcentral's name for it is "partial 23S ribosomal RNA". It matches the Rfam family "Bacterial large subunit ribosomal RNA", at positions 1504 to 2925 of the family's 2925-position model. The record is from RNAcentral. Lineage: Bacteria; Pseudomonadati; Pseudomonadota; Gammaproteobacteria; Enterobacterales; Enterobacteriaceae.